AGAGUUUGAUCAUGGCUCAGGAUGAACGCUAGCUACAGGCUUAACACAUGCAAGUCGAGGGGAAACGACAUCGAAAGCUUGCUUUUGAUGGGCGUCGACCGGCGCACGGGUGAGUAACGCGUAUCCAACCUGCCCACCACUUGGGGAUAACCUUGCGAAAGUAAGACUAAUACCCAAUGACGUCUCUAGAAGACAUCUGAAAGAGAUUAAAGAUUUAUCGGUGAUGGAUGGGGAUGCGUCUGAUAGCUUGUGGCGGGGUAACGGCCGCAAGGCUACGAUCAGUAGGGGUUCUGGAGAGGAAGGUCCCCCANAUUGGAACUGAGACACGGUCCAAACUCCUACGGGAGGCA
RNAcentral lists this ribosomal RNA (350 nucleotides) under uncultured bacterium. Its description in RNAcentral is "bacterial SSU rRNA". It matches the Rfam family "Bacterial small subunit ribosomal RNA", at positions 8 to 350 of the family's 1533-position model. The record is from RNAcentral.